GAUGAACGCUGGCGGCGUGCCUAAUACAUGCAAGUCGAGCGAACAGACGAGGAGCUUGCUCCUCUGACGUUAGCGGCGGACGGGUGAGUAACACGUGGAUAACCUACCUAUAAGACUGGGAUAACUUCGGGAAACCGGAGCUAAUACCGGAUAAUAUAUUGAACCGCAUGGUUCAAUAGUGAAAGACGGUUUUGCUGUCACUUAUAGAUGGAUCCGCGCCGCAUUAGCUAGUUGGUAAGGUAACGGCUUACCAAGGCGACGAUGCGUAGCCGACCUGAGAGGGUGAUCGGCCACACUGGAACGGAGACACGGUCCAGACUCCUACGGGAGGCAGCAGUAGGGAAUCUUCCGCAAUGGGCGAAAGCCUGACGGAGCAACGCGGCGUGAGUGAUGAAGGUCUUCGGAUCGUAAAACUCUGUUAUUAGGGAAGAACAAAUGUGUAAGUAACUAUGCACGUCGUGACGGUACCUAAUCAGAAAGCCACGGCUAACUACGUG
Molecule: ribosomal RNA, 497 nt
Filed under: uncultured bacterium
Lineage: Bacteria
Description: partial 16S ribosomal RNA
Rfam family: Bacterial small subunit ribosomal RNA
Source: RNAcentral